GAUGAAGAACGCAGCGAAAUGCGAUACGUAAUGUGAAUUGCAGAAUUCCAGUGAGUCAUCGAAUCUUUGAACGCACAUUGCGCCCCCUGGUAUUCCGGGGGGCAUGCCUGUCCGAGCGUCAUUACAACCCUCAAGCUCAGCUUGGUGUUGGGCCCCGCCGCCCCGGCGGGCCCUAAAGUCAGUGGCGGUGCCGUCCGGCUCCGAGCGUAGUAAUUCUUCUCGCUCUGGAGGUCCGGUCGUGUGCUCGCCAGCAACCCCCAAUUUUUUUCAGGUUGACCUCGGAUCAGGUAGGGAUACCCGCUGAACUUAAGCAUAUCAAUAAGCGGAGGA
This 330-nucleotide unclassified non-coding RNA is filed under the name soil metagenome. RNAcentral describes it as "partial contains 5.8S ribosomal RNA, internal transcribed spacer 2, and large subunit ribosomal RNA". The stretch from base 1 to 121 matches the Rfam family "5.8S ribosomal RNA", at positions 35 to 154 of the family's 154-position model. The record is from RNAcentral.